Small nuclear RNA from Salvia splendens (bonfire salvia), 105 nucleotides. The record is from RefSeq and is a predicted model, not a curated record. Lineage: Eukaryota; Viridiplantae; Streptophyta; Magnoliopsida; Lamiales; Lamiaceae.
UCUCUAUAUGUAGUGUUCAUAAAAUAAAUUGGACGAUACAGAGAAGAUUAACAUGGCCCCUGCGCAAGGAUGACAAGCAUAAAUCGAGAAAUGGUCCAACUAAGA